Gymnodraco acuticeps is the source of this 242-nucleotide long non-coding RNA. RefSeq lists it as uncharacterized. The record is from RefSeq and is a predicted model, not a curated record. Lineage: Eukaryota; Metazoa; Chordata; Actinopteri; Perciformes; Bathydraconidae. The transcript is spliced from 2 exons.
GGCGAGGAUGACCAGGACCAGGCGCCAGAUGAUGCACCCUACGCACAAAUAAUCUUGACUGAAAGCCGUAACAUCUGGGCGUCUCUCGCCUUGUUGUUGAAGUCUUCUAUCUGCAUCGUCAACAUCCUGUGCUCCCACUGCUGCCUGAUGAUCCCCUUACGGAAAUCUUUAUACUCCACCAUGGAGGCAAUCUUCUGAUCUCCCUGUGUCUGUUCAUAAAUAAAUCCAUUUGACACACACAA